Molecule: long non-coding RNA, 2309 nt
Organism: Bufo gargarizans (Asiatic toad)
Lineage: Eukaryota; Metazoa; Chordata; Amphibia; Anura; Bufonidae
Exons: 2
Source: RefSeq, a predicted model, not a curated record
UUAAAAUCCGCACCACAGGUCAGUUUCUGCUAUGGGUUUUUUUCUGUUACAUGUGACUGAGAAUUGCUGAAAGCUCAUUCACUUUGCUGAUACUAUACAACGUUUCAAAUUUGCCGCACAAAAAUCUACUACAACAAAUCUGCAGCUAAUCUUUCCCAUGUGAACCCUGCCUGAAGCCUUAGGCCUUGUUCACAUUUCUGUGUCCGCUUGGCGUCCGUGAAAAAAUCAGUCCGUGUUUCAUCUGUGAAGAUGUCCUUGUUUUUUUUCUGUGUGUCCGUAUUUUCUUUCCGUGUGUCAUCUGUUUUCAUAGCAUCACUUAUAAAUAGUCUGGGAAACAUGGACAAAACAUGGAUGGCGUCCGUGUUCGGUCCGUGUUUUUUACGGACCCCUAGACUAUAAUGGGGGUGAUGGAUCCGCAAACAAAGACAAAAAUAGAGCAUGCUUACGUUUUAAAAUGCACACAUUAAAAUUAAUGGGUACAUGUGCUGGAGAACAUGGACAGCACACAUCCAUGAAUCACUGAUAUCUGAAUAAGGCCUUAGGGUGCUUCCAUUCUUCCUUUUAUUGCAGCGAGCCAGGCCGCAGGGGCAACACAUGAGUUACGGUGGGCCGAUGGGGGUAGUAGUUAAUUUACUCCCUGGGCCGGCAGUGUAGUGGAGGGAAGGACAGCACUAAAUCCUGCGGGGCAAUCUCUAUUGCAGGGAACACCAGCCAGAUGGUAGUUGAGGUGCCCCUGAUGGUAUAGGUGUUUAAGGUGCUUUGGUGGCUGGGUCCUUGUGUUCGUGAUGCCAGCACCGUAAGUUGCAAAUGUUGAGGGUAGUUGAAAGGAUAGGGAGUCAGUUGUAGUAGAAACAGUUGAACAUUUACUUAAAUGAAAUGUCUUAGGACUGUUGAUACAGUUCAUCAGUACAGUGCACCUAUAUGGCAUAAAGGAUUAUUCAGAAAUUAGUUUAGCUGUAAUCCUUACAACAGGUCUGGCAAUUGUCAGUUGAGGAGUUUUCCUAAUGCUGUUACUUUACAGGCAAAACAAAAGUUCUCUUCUUAGAUAGUUCAGAUUUAAGUCCAAUCUCUGGCACUCAGGUACUUAAUAUAAUGGUUUCCUUACUUUAUAUUGAGCAAUCCAAUAAGGGCGUUCUAACUCAUGGCAGGCAAACUCUGUGCUACAUUAUUUUAUGCAGGAUGCUCUCCUGAAAUAUUCAGGUUCACUAAGGCAUUUAGUGAAAAAGGAUAAUUUUGCGCACUAAUCAUCCAGUGGUGUCCAGGUACUGGUGCUUGUGAAGUCCCUUGGCUAGACUCAGCUCUAAUCUUCACUAGACUUGCUUUAUAUUCGUACAUAGACUCACUUGUCUGUGCUGGACUGCUGUGACUACUUGGUCUGUCCUCUCCCUGCUUGAUCAGGGCCCAGAGGAAAGAAGGCAGCUACAUAUUGGACUGAGCCUGCUCUGCUCCUCCAUACACUUGCUUCUCUUCUCUGUUUUCGUUCUACACACUUCCUCCACACUCUCCUACUACUUCCUUAUUAGCACACCCCAAGUUAUAUAUAAUAUGUGGCGCAAACACCACCUAGGGGCGAAAUAAUAUAAUGACACUGCCAGCCUAAUCUUAGGAAUUACAAUACAUUAAAUACAUUUACAGAAAUUUAAGGGGACCACUUAUACACACAUAAGUGGGACACUGCACUAUACUUGCAUUUUUUUCCUGUAGGGAAAUUUAUUGGAAAACCCAAUAAAGCAUGCUGCAAUUUGAAAAAAGGCCAAUAAACAGUCUUAAAAUGGCUUCAUAAAAGAGAGCAAGAAAAUUGUGGCACUCACCAAUUACUUUUCCACUCGUAGCUUUAUUCCAGGUAAAAUCACAGGAGAUGCGGUCACAGAAGCACAAGGCAACAGCCGUUUUGCACUAAACUAAAGUGCUUUGUCAAGCCUCCCGUUACGCCGUUGAGGGGCAUAGUAAAUACCUUACUCACUCCCCCACGUCAAAGACACACAGGAAAAAGAGUUCUUCUGGGUUCUCCAGCUACAUAUGUAGAUCUGACUGGUUAAAAGGUAGCAGCAUGACAACACACGUGCUGCUAAAGCGUGUUCAUGUGUGUGUGUGGGAGGAAGGUCCUUCUACACUCAUGUGUGAUGAUGACCAUAGAAGGCGUCAUACCAUAUCCAGAGGCAACACAUUCAGACAACAGAACUCUACACAGGCAGGAGAUAUGGGGAUUACACUGAAAGAAUGUGCACAUUUACAAAGUGAAAGUUGGCAGACGCAGCUGUCUUUUUAUUGACAUACAGAAAGAAUACAGCUGAUAAUACAAACUCCCA